UCGGCCUGCCGCCGCCACGGGGGCCUCUGACACUGCGCGCCAGGCCAGGUUCCGGAAGGCAGCCUGCGCGGGCGGGGAGCGCGGGCCCGGGAGGCCCCCGCGCGCCGGGCUGCCUGCAGCAGGGGGCUCGCACGAACGUCUUCCCCCGCCAACCUCCCAGCGCUGGGGUGCGGGCUAGGACGGGGUGGGGGGACAGUGGCGCCCAGCGCGGAACAGCGCAGGAGCCGGGCGCAACGCCGCACGCGGGGACCCAGGUUGCUGGGGCUCUGUCUCUGUGUGAGCCAGCCUGCGGGAAGCCUCGUCUGGCAGAAGGUGACCCAGAGAAAGGAAUUCUAACGCUUCUCUCAGAGGUCAGCCGACUGUUUCUGUAACGGGGCACAGAGGGGGUGUCUGGGGGUCUGUGUCACCGGGACUGAAGCCUGCCGUAGCAAUGCUGAGGCAGCCAGAGACGACUCGUAAGCAAACGGGCGCGCGGGGCUCCCUCAGAGCCCUGUUCGCAGCGCAGGUGGGCCUCGGCCGCCCCCUGCUCUGUGUGGGCCCUUGGCAGUCCCUCACCUGGAUGCCAGCCCAUCCUCAGCUGCAGCCCGUGCCAUGAAAUAUGUCUGUCCCGCCGGUGCCUGACUCUGGGCAGAGUUUCUCAGGGGCAAGACCCCACACCCCGCGCUCAGCCCCAGCCUGCAGGCUCGUCUUGCGCCGUCUUCCCGCCUUUCUCCCAUUUCACAGGCACAUAAACUGAGGCUCCAGCAGCCUGCCUCUUGUUCAGAGCCAGGCCAUGCGUAAGCGAGGGGGCUGGAAUCCAAGCCGGGGCUGCACCGUGGUGACCCCCGCCCCCAUCCCAGCGCACCUCUGCCUGGGCGCCCGCCCCCUCCCCGUGGCCCCAACCCCUCUGUCCACCUCCACUUCCUGUGGCCACUCAGGGAAUUUGCAUCUGGGGCCAAAGCAUGAGCGUCAGUGACUCCCGAGGCCCCCGUUCACUCUGGGACCCCCAAUAUUGUCGUGCACAGGAUACCUUCCAGCCAGCAACAGCCGGGGCCGAGGAGUUCGGGCUGGGGGGAGGGGAUAAUGAGGGCCCGUGAGACCCAGUGGCAGGUGCUAGGUCCUCUGCAAAGUGGGAUGAGCCGAGUCCUAACUGCCUUGUGGCUGUCUUUGCCGUGCACAAGCCCUGUGCGCAGAAUGUCCUGGAAAGCCCCCUUCGCGGUGGCUCCAUUGCCCUGUCCUAGGGGACAGGGCUGAGGCCCAGAGACACUGAGUCACCAUCUCAUGUUGCAGAGCCGAGUUCCAGGCCGCCACACGCACUGCCUUUGGUCACUCUGCUGGGCUGGAUAGUGUCCCCCAAACUCACGUCCUACCCAGACGCAGGACCUUUGGAAA
This 1371-nucleotide long non-coding RNA is filed under the name Sus scrofa (pig). RNAcentral's name for it is "lncRNA (ENSSSCG00035024134.1)". Lineage: Eukaryota; Metazoa; Chordata; Mammalia; Artiodactyla; Suidae. The record is from RNAcentral.